Molecule: long non-coding RNA, 1132 nt
Filed under: Junco hyemalis (dark-eyed junco)
Lineage: Eukaryota; Metazoa; Chordata; Aves; Passeriformes; Passerellidae
Description: lncRNA (ENSJHYG00000002321.1)
Source: RNAcentral
CUAAUUAGCAAUUGCUUUCCUGGUUAAUAACUACUGAAAUGCUAUCAGGAAAUAUGUUUAAAGUACAGAUUGCCAUGCUCUGUGUCAGUACCUGCCAGGAGAUGGGGCAGCAGUGGCUGGAGAGGGAGGGCAGCAGCUGGGUCAUAGCCUGCUCUUGCCUUGCAGCAAUCCCAAAUCCCUGCACAAGGCAGGGGUGGCUGCUGAGCUGUUGGACCUGGGAGCUUGGCACCCUCCCAGCUGCUGGUGGGGCAGUGUCCCAGCCUGUUCUCAUCCUGUUCCCGCUGCUCCCAGGAGCUCCCUGCCCCUCUGUUGCCCAGCUCACAUUCUCCCCUUCCUCCAAAGAGGUGCCAGAAACCCCCGAUGGCACUGACUGGGCCCAAAGACAGCCACUCCAUCAGUGUCCAUCAGGGGAAGGGGCUCCUGUUAUCCCACUGCAAAUCCCCAUGGAGCAGCACUUUUCUCAUGAUCUCUCUCCCCAUAUUCACAUGUUAUGUGAAAACCUCAGUUUUCCCUCAAAGAGGGAAAAUUCCUCGAAACAAAGUCCCCUCAUAGUUGCAAGGACCACUUUGAGAACACAAACUGAGAACCUGGACACCCAGCAGAGGAUGGGUGGGGGCAGUGGCACCUGGCCUGGCACUGGGACACCCAUGGUGGUGGGUGGUGGUGGCUCUUCCCUGCACAUGGACUCUCUUAUUCCUGGAAACUCCACUGCUGUGACAGAGUUAACCUGGAUUUCAACCACAGCAGGAACAAAUGUGACUCACAUUCCUCACAGUCACUCAUGGCCCAUUCCCAAACCCACAAAUUCUAAUGUGAAACUUUUCCUUUAAUGAUCACUGCAUAACACACAUACCACCAGCACAGACCUCUGGGAAGCAAAUGCUGUUUCAUCUGUGGCCAGAUCAGAUCUUCCCUGGGGUUUUCCAUGCCUGGAACAGCUAAUUUUUCCUGCUCAUAAACAACACAGCACCUAGAAACACUCAGAAACAAUUUCCAGCCCCCUGGAUCCCGAGUUGGGGCACUGAUGCUUCUUUCUUCUGCAUCCCGUGGCUGCAGGGUUAAUAACAGGGGUUCCUACACCAUAUCAAUGUUGUAAUUCAAAAUUUGCUCCUUGCAGAUGUUUGGAAGGAAG